RNAcentral lists this ribosomal RNA (500 nucleotides) under uncultured bacterium. Its description in RNAcentral is "partial 16S ribosomal RNA". It matches the Rfam family "Bacterial small subunit ribosomal RNA", at positions 30 to 523 of the family's 1533-position model. The record is from RNAcentral.
AUUGAACGCUGGCGGAAUGCUUUACACAUGCAAGUCGAACGGCAGCACGGACUUCGGUCUGGUGGCGAGUGGCGAACGGGUGAGUAAUACAUCGGAACGUGCCCAGUCGUGGGGGAUAACGUAGCGAAAGCUACGCUAAUACCGCAUACGAUAUAAGGAUGAAAGCGGGGGAUCGCAAGACCUCGCGCGAUUGGAGCGGCCGAUGGCAGAUUAGGCAGUUGGUGGGGUAAAGGCUCACCAAGCCGACGAUCUGUAGCUGGUCGGAGGGGACGACCAGCCACACUGGGACUGAGACACGGCCCAGACUCCUACGGGAGGCAGCAGUGGGGAAUUUUGGACAAUGGGCGCAAGCCUGAUCCAGCCAUUCCGCGUGCAGGAUGAAGGCCCUCGGGUUGUAAACUGCUUUUGUACGGAACGAAAAGGCUCUGGUUAAUACCUGGGGCUCAUGACGGUACCGUAAGAAUAAGCACCGGCUAACUACGUGCCAGCAGCCGCCGUAA